GGUUAAGCGACCAAGCGUACACGGUGGAUGCCCUGGCAGUCAGAGGCGAUGAAGGACGUGCUAAUCUGCGAAAAGCGCCGGCGAGGUGAUAUGAACCCUUGACCCGGCGAUGUCCGAAUGGGGAAACCCAGUGUGACUCGUCACACUAUCGUUAGCUGAAUACAUAGGCUAACGAGGCGAACCGGGGGAACUGAAACAUCUAAGUACCCCGAGGAAAAGAAAUCAACCGAGAUUCCCCCAGUAGCGGCGAGCGAACGGGGAGGAGCCCAGAGCCUGAAUCAGCUUGUGUGUUAGUGGAAGCGUCUGGAAAGUCGCACGGUACAGGGUGAAAGUCCCGUACACGAAAA
Molecule: ribosomal RNA, 347 nt
Filed under: Citrobacter koseri
Lineage: Bacteria; Pseudomonadati; Pseudomonadota; Gammaproteobacteria; Enterobacterales; Enterobacteriaceae
Description: partial 23S ribosomal RNA
Rfam family: Bacterial large subunit ribosomal RNA
Source: RNAcentral